CAUUAAUAGUACUUUACAACUGCUAUCCGCCCGGGUACUACGAGCAUCAGCUUAAAACCCAAAGGACUUGGCGGUGCUUUAGAUCCACCUAGAGGAGCCUGUUCUAGAACCGAUAACCCCCGUUCAACCUCACCCUUUCUUGUUUAUCCCGCCUAUAUACCACCGUCGUCAGCUUACCCUGUGAAGGCCCUAUAGUAAGCAAAAUUGGCAAAGCCCAAAACGUCAGGUCGAGGUGUAGCGUAUGAAAGGGGAAGAAAUGGGCUACAUUCUCUGACCCAGGGAACCACGAAUAAUUCAUUGAAACAUGAGUCUGAAGGAGGAUUUAGCAGUAAGUGGAAAAUAGAGCGUUCCGCUGAAACCGGCCCUGAAGCGCGC
Molecule: ribosomal RNA, 375 nt
Filed under: Naso tuberosus (humpnose unicornfish)
Lineage: Eukaryota; Metazoa; Chordata; Actinopteri; Acanthuriformes; Acanthuridae
Description: partial 12S ribosomal RNA
Rfam family: Bacterial small subunit ribosomal RNA
Source: RNAcentral